This 463-nucleotide ribosomal RNA is filed under the name uncultured bacterium. Its description in RNAcentral is "bacterial SSU rRNA". It matches the Rfam family "Bacterial small subunit ribosomal RNA", at positions 29 to 507 of the family's 1533-position model. The record is from RNAcentral.
AAUGAACGUUGGCGGCGUGGAUUAGGCAUGCAAGUCGAGCGAGAAACUUCCUUCGGGAAGUGGACAGCGGCAAACGGGGUAGUAAUACAAAGGUACGUACCCCAAGGACCAGGAUAGCCACGGGAAACUGUGAGUAAUACUGGAUAAUCUCUCCGGAGCAAAUGGUGUGAUUCCGCCUUGGGAGCGGCUUUUCCGAUACUAGGUAGUUGGUUGGGUAAUGGCUGACCAAGCCUGAGAUGUCUAGGGGGUGUGAGAGCAUGGCCCCCACCACUGGGACUGAGAUACUGCCCAGACACCUACGGGUGGCUGCAGUCGAGAAUCUUCGGCAAUGGGCGAAAGCCUGACCGAGCGACGCCGCGUGCGGGAUGAAGGCCCUCGGGUUGUAAACCGCUGUCAGAGGGGAUGAAUGUUUGAGGACCCUUUUACUUGACAAGCCUCAGAGGAAGCACGGGCUAAGUACGUG